CACGUAGGGUGCGAGCGUUGUCCGGAAUUAUUGGGCGUAAAGAGCUCGUAGGCGGUGUGUCGCGUCGGCCGUGAAAACCUGCAGCUUAACUGCGGGCUUGCGGUUGAUACGGGCGCGCUAGAGUUCGGUAGGGGAGACUGGAAUUCCUGGUGUAGCGGUGAAAUGCGCAGAUAUCAGGAGGAACACCGGUGGCGAAGGCGGGUCUCUGGGCAGUAACUGACGCUGAGGAGCGAAAGCGUGGGGAGCGAACAGG
Molecule: ribosomal RNA, 253 nt
Filed under: uncultured bacterium
Lineage: Bacteria
Description: partial 16S ribosomal RNA
Rfam family: Bacterial small subunit ribosomal RNA
Source: RNAcentral